AUGCUACUCCCUCCGUCUGAAAAUACUUGUCACAGGAAUGAAUGCAUUUAAAUCUAUUUUAGUUUUAGAUAAAUCUAUUUUUAUAAAUUUGUUCGACAAGUAAUUCCAGACAGAGGGAGUAUGUA
This is a non-coding RNA of Hordeum vulgare subsp. vulgare (domesticated barley), 125 nucleotides long. The record is from Rfam. Lineage: Eukaryota; Viridiplantae; Streptophyta; Magnoliopsida; Poales; Poaceae.